GGUUAGGGCUCAGGGGCAGAGCGCAUGUCUCACACAUGUGAGGUCCUGGGCUCGAUCCUCAGCACCA
Molecule: transfer RNA, 67 nt
Filed under: Marmota monax (woodchuck)
Lineage: Eukaryota; Metazoa; Chordata; Mammalia; Rodentia; Sciuridae
Description: tRNA.Val
Source: RNAcentral